UCCGCAAGGAAGUAAGAUCCCUGAAAGAUGAUCAGGUUGAUAGGUCUGAGGUGGAAGUGUGGCGACACAUGGAGCUGACAGAUACUAAUCGAUCGAGGACUUAACCACA
RNAcentral lists this ribosomal RNA (109 nucleotides) under Bacillus atrophaeus. RNAcentral describes it as "partial 23S ribosomal RNA". It matches the Rfam family "Bacterial large subunit ribosomal RNA", at positions 2815 to 2925 of the family's 2925-position model. Lineage: Bacteria; Bacillati; Bacillota; Bacilli; Caryophanales; Bacillaceae. The record is from RNAcentral.